AUACGGAGGAUCCGACCGUUUUCCGGAUUUAUUGGGUUUAAAGGGGGCGUAGGUGGCCGGUUAGGUCAGUUGGGAAAGUUUGCGGCUAACCCGAAAAUUUGCAGUUGAUACUGGCUGUCUUGAGUACGGUAGAGGUGGGCGGAAUUCGUGGGGUAGCGGUGAAAUGCUUAGAUAUAACGAAGAACUCCGAUUGCGAAGGCAGCUCACUGGACUGCAACUGACACUGAUGCUCGAAAGUGUGGGUAUCAAACAGGAUUAGAUACCCUGGUGGUCCACACAGUAAACGAUGAAUACUCGCUGUUUGCGAUAUACAGUAAGCGGCCGAGCGAAAGCAUUAAGUAUUCCACCUGGGGAGUACGCCGGCAACGGUGAAACUCAAAUGAAUUGACGGGG
RNAcentral lists this ribosomal RNA (393 nucleotides) under uncultured bacterium. RNAcentral's name for it is "partial 16S ribosomal RNA". It matches the Rfam family "Bacterial small subunit ribosomal RNA", at positions 523 to 918 of the family's 1533-position model. The record is from RNAcentral.